RNAcentral lists this unclassified non-coding RNA (598 nucleotides) under Bradyrhizobium sp. STM 3097. RNAcentral describes it as "partial 16S-23S ribosomal RNA intergenic spacer". The stretch from base 45 to 117 matches the Rfam family "tRNA". The record is from RNAcentral. Lineage: Bacteria; Pseudomonadati; Pseudomonadota; Alphaproteobacteria; Hyphomicrobiales; Nitrobacteraceae.
GGCCCACCAUUUUGAUCGAGUGCGGAGCAUUCGUCUUCUGGUACGGGGCCAUAGCUCAGCUGGGAGAGCGCGUGCUUUGCAAGCAUGAGGUCGUCGGUUCGAUCCCGUCUGGCUCCACCAGAUGGAAUUGAAGCUCGAUAGCGCCUCGUUCAUUUCGUCCGCGAAACAUCACUUCGCACUCAUUGGUCCGGAUGGACGGUGACGUGCGUGUUUUCUGACAUCGUAAAGAGGAGAUCGAUCCGAGUUUGGAUCAAGCGAAGCAAUUCGCCUGAGCCAUUCAUUAUCUCCGGGAUCAUUUCGGCGCUCGCUUCAAUCGUGAGAUUGGAUGCGGGUUGUAAAUGAUCCCUUUUAGCGAAGCUUGACCGCCUCGCUAUCGGGCCGAUCUUACGAAGCAAGCUGGUCUUUCUAGUCAAUGUCCGGCUGCGCAAUCGCAUUCAUCGAGGAUGCGUGCCUGAGACUUCGGUCUUCGGGCAGUUGUGCAGACAACAUUCUGCCGAGUGUGUGGACAUUGAUAAUGAGAGCAAUCAAGUGCCUUAAGGGUGUUCGGUGGAUGCCUUGGCGCUGAGAGGCGAUGAAGGACGUGCUACGCUGCGAUAAG